AUAUUUAAUAGAAAUAAUUAUUAAUAAAAUCUGCUCAAUGACAAUUAAAUAGCCGCAGUUCAUACUGUGCUAAGGUAGCAUAAUCACUUGUUUUUUAAUUAAAAACUAGAAUGAAAGAUCUUACAUUUCAAUUAUUAUAUUAAAUUUCAUUUUUAAAAUUAUUUUUAAUGUAAAAAAACAUUAAUUAACAAGAAAGACGAUAAGACCCUAUUGAACUUAACUUUGGUUAAACUGGGGUAGUUUAAUAAUUAUUACUUAAUCAUACACAUAAACAUAAAUGACCUUAUAAAAUCAAUUUAAUGAUCAAGUUACCAUAGGGAUAACAGCGUAAUAAUUUUCCAUAGAUCUUAUAUAAAAAAAUGAUUGCGACCUCGAUGUUGAAUUAAUUAAUCUAUUACAUGUAAAAAUGUAAAAAGAAAGUCUGUUCGACUAAUAAAUAAUUACAUG
Molecule: ribosomal RNA, 447 nt
Filed under: Sinopoda serpentembolus
Lineage: Eukaryota; Metazoa; Arthropoda; Arachnida; Araneae; Sparassidae
Description: partial large subunit ribosomal RNA
Source: RNAcentral